CCUACGGGAGGCUGCAGUGGGGAAUCUUGCGCAAUGCGCGAAAGCGUGACGCAGCAACGCCGCGUGUGGGAAGAAGGCCUUCGGGUUGUAAACCACUUUCAGGAGGGACGAAGGUUCGGCAGUUAAUAGCUGACCGGACUGACGGUACCUCCACAAGAAGCCCCGGCUAACUACGUGCCAGCAGCCGCGGUAAUACGUAGGGGGCUAGCGUUGUCCGGAAUCAUUGGGCGUAAAGCGCGCGUAGGCGGCCCGGUAAGUCCGUUGUAAAAGUCAAA
Molecule: ribosomal RNA, 275 nt
Filed under: uncultured bacterium
Lineage: Bacteria
Description: partial 16S ribosomal RNA
Rfam family: Bacterial small subunit ribosomal RNA
Source: RNAcentral